GUGUGACAUAGACGCAAAACCAUGCCACAAGCAUGGACAAGCAGCCUGACCACUUCCCACAAAGCUCAGAUACCGCUGCGCCCAGCAGAUUAAUGAAGCAACAUUAGCAGGUGCCCGGGAUGCUCAGCCGUCUCCCUCCACCCUAGUCCCAAGGUCCUCAUUCUCAAGUUCAAACUUUGCAUCUCAUCACAGGCUGCCUUCUGACGCGUGUGUUUACUUUCUUCGACUCAACAAUGUGUCUGUGUGUUUGCGCAGGACCGGAGUUUAUUUGCGCUCACUUUGCAGUGUUUCAUCUCAUAAAUGGGCCUCCUCUGAGGGCCCUUCUGUUAAGGGUGGACUCCCACGUGGCUUUCGGCAGAGGUUGCUACAGGACCCAUGUACGCGGGGACAGCCCCGGGUAGAAACAGAUUCCUUAUUGUCGGUGCAGCAAGUGGGGGCGAUUCUGUUAUAAAAGCUAUGCUGUCGUGUG
This 469-nucleotide long non-coding RNA is filed under the name Rattus norvegicus (Norway rat). RNAcentral's name for it is "long non-coding RNA NONRATT021966". The record is from RNAcentral. Lineage: Eukaryota; Metazoa; Chordata; Mammalia; Rodentia; Muridae.